This 789-nucleotide ribosomal RNA is filed under the name uncultured Methanomicrobiaceae archaeon. Its description in RNAcentral is "bacterial SSU rRNA". It matches the Rfam family "Archaeal small subunit ribosomal RNA", at positions 85 to 879 of the family's 1478-position model. Lineage: Archaea; Methanobacteriati; Methanobacteriota; Methanomicrobia; Methanomicrobiales; Methanomicrobiaceae. The record is from RNAcentral.
ACGGCUCAGUAACACGUGGACAACCUGCCCUAAGGAGGGGGAUAACCCCGGGAAACUGGGGAUAAUACCCCAUAGAUUACAGAUGCUGGAAUGCUUUGUAGUCGAAAGGUCCGCCGCCUUAGGAUGGGUCUGCGGCCGAUUAGGUUGUUGUUGGGGUAACGGCCCAACAAGCCUGUAAUCGGUACGGGUUGUGGGAGCAAGAACCCGGAGAUGGAUUCUGAGACACGAAUCCAGGCCCUACGGGGCGCAGCAGGCGCGAAAACUUUACAAUGCGAGCAAUCGUGAUAAGGGGACCCCGAGUGCCUGUAUACGCAGGCUGUUCAGGUGUCUAAAAAACACCUGGAGAAAGGGCCGGGCAAGACCGGUGCCAGCCGCCGCGGUAAUACCGGCGGCUCGAGUGGUGGCCACUAUUACUGGGCUUAAAGCGUCCGUAGCUGGGUUGUUAAGUCUCCUGGGAAAUCUGCCGGCUUAACCGUCAGGCGUUCAGGAGGUACUGGCAAUCUAGGGACCGGGGGAGGUGAGAGGUACUCCGGGGGUAGGAGUGAAAUCCUGUAAUCCUCGGGGGACCACCUGUGGCGAAGGCGUCUCACCAGAACGGCUCCGACAGUGAGGGACGAAAGCUGGGGGAGCAAACCGGAUUAGAUACCCGGGUAGUCCCAGCUGUAAACGAUGCGCGUUAGGUGUGUCGGUAACCACGAGUUACCGAGGUGCCGAAGGGAAACUGUUAAACGCGCCGCCUGGGAAGUACGGUCGCAAGGCUGAAACUUAAAGGAAUUGGCGGGGGAGCAC